This 723-nucleotide ribosomal RNA is filed under the name Gardnerella vaginalis. Its description in RNAcentral is "bacterial SSU rRNA". It matches the Rfam family "Bacterial small subunit ribosomal RNA", at positions 49 to 783 of the family's 1533-position model. The record is from RNAcentral. Lineage: Bacteria; Bacillati; Actinomycetota; Actinomycetes; Bifidobacteriales; Bifidobacteriaceae.
CUACCAUGCAGUCGAACGGGAUCUGACCAGCUUGCUGGUUGGUGAGAGUGGCGAACGGGUGAGUAAUGCGUGACCAACCUGCCCCAUGCUCCAGAAUAGCUCUUGGAAACGGGUGGUAAUGCUGGAUGCUCCAACUUGACGCAUGUCUUGUUGGGAAAGUGUUUAGUGGCAUGGGAUGGGGUCGCGUCCUAUCAGCUUGUAGGCGGGGUAAUGGCCCACCUAGGCUUCGACGGGUAGCCGGCCUGAGAGGGCGGACGGCCACAUUGGGACUGAGAUACGGCCCAGACUCCUACGGGAGGCAGCAGUGGGGAAUAUUGCGCAAUGGGGGAAACCCUGACGCAGCGACGCCGCGUGCGGGAUGAAGGCCUUCGGGUUGUAAACCGCUUUUGAUUGGGAGCAAGCUUUCGGGUGAGUGUACCUUUCGAAUAAGCGCCGGCUAACUACGUGCCAGCAGCCGCGGUAAUACGUAGGGCGCAAGCGUUAUCCGGAAUUAUUGGGCGUAAAGAGCUUGUAGGCGGUUCGUCGCGUCUGGUGUGAAAGCCCAUCGCUUAACGGUGGGUCUGCGCCGGGUACGGGCGGGCUAGAGUGCAGUAGGGGAGACUGGAAUUCCCGGUGUAACGGUGGAAUGUGUAGAUAUCGGGAAGAACACCAAUGGCGAAGGCAGGUCUCUGGGCUGUUACUGACGCUGAGAAGCGAAAGCGUGGGGAGCGAACAGGAUUAUAU